Molecule: non-coding RNA, 620 nt
Organism: Oryctolagus cuniculus (rabbit)
Lineage: Eukaryota; Metazoa; Chordata; Mammalia; Lagomorpha; Leporidae
Source: RefSeq, a predicted model, not a curated record
GCAGCCCCUCGCCCAGCCGCCGGCCCUCCUGGCUUCUGGGCGGCGACUACAGAGCCUCCUGAGGCGACCGAGCGUCCGCACGUAAGGGGCGUGGCCACGCUCGCCGCGCGCCCCGGGAAGACGGCCGAGCGGCGGCCGGCUGCAGAUGAUGAUGUCUAUAUUGGAAGAAAUAGGAGCUCCAGAGACAUUGAAGAGAGUUCCCUUCCCCAGGGAGCAAGGUCAGCUCAAGUGGCUCUAGUCCUGAUCAGCAGCAGGCGAAGUAGGCAUUCGGUGACACUGCUUGGUGUUCCCAUCUGCAGCGGGAGCUGCAGAGGACAUGUCAGCGUGGAGCUGCUGGAGGGCUACUGCCUAACGAGCAUUGGGGAAAAUCGGCUUUCCUUGGCUCGGUUCUCCUUGGAGUGGACAUUGCUCAGAGAUCCAUAGAAUCAGGAAUACACUCAUCCAUCCACUACUCAGAAUAGUUUAAAAAUCUUUGGGGAGAGCAUGAACACAGUCUUCCACUACCACAAAUUAUGCAGUCGAGUUUCCCACAUUUGGGGAAAUUGCAGGGGUCAGCACAUCCGGAAUGCAAUGGAUGAGCCUCGCUCUGGGAAAACCACCUUCAUGAUCAUGGUAUCUCC